UUAUCGUAUUGAUCAAUGAGAUCAAGGGGCCGUGUGGUUUAUAAUUCGCUGUGAUUACCAGACAAGCCAGAAUCACGUGAAAUAAGUAAACAAACUCAGUGUACCCUAGUGAGUGUAGGAGAAUGAGAGCACGGGGGGUAUAUAAACAGACGGCGAAGGUUAAACUGGCCUUCCGAGCCACAACUAAAACCUAGUUUGAGCAGGGAUCGAUGCUACUGGUGGGUCGACACAGUGGAUGGAGCUCCGGACCUGUACGACCCACACUCAUCGUUCCCCGCUCGAAACAGUGCAAUUGCUGGCCCAGGACCCUCGCAGCCCCCCUCCCAUGCUCCCAGUGAAGCAGAUCCAGAGUCUCUGACUGCUGUGCUCUACAACAACAAAGUGAUGCUGACCAGUCCAGUAUUGCUGAAGACGAGGAUGAUGCCUUAGGGGUGACCUUCAUAGAGAAUGUGACAGUGACAGCCUUUGUGGUGCCAGAAGGUAAGGGUGUGGAGCUGACAGCUUUGCGAAGUUGAAGGGCCUGAAGUGCUUCUGCAAGCUCAAUGAUGGCCUGCCUUGCAACAGCCAGUUCGAAUCAACUGCUUUUGACGAUCUGCGUUUGUCUUUUGCUGGUAUGACACGAGAGGAGCAUAAUAUUUUUUGGACGCGUUUUUACGUAAUUCAAUGAUUUACUAUUGUAACAUAAAAACAGUCAUAACUUCACAUAGAAGAGAGGUAUUUCACUAAAAUAAAAAGCAAACUGUCCACGAAUGGCACCUCUAUGCUGUGGUAUCAGCAUUAUUUGCUUCUAUGCAUUGUCAUCAUGGAAAAUAGCAUUGUCAUCAUGGAAAAUGUGUUCCCAAAGUAAGCAAAACUUUAAAACCUGUUUUCUCAAAAUUUGACACUCGAACCCCUGUUCGCUUUAAAAUGCCAUAACUUUUCACAGAAUGCCCCAGUUGCUUUCAAAUAAAGUACAAAAUGCUCGGAAAA
Aplysia californica (California sea hare) is the source of this 969-nucleotide long non-coding RNA. RefSeq lists it as uncharacterized. The record is from RefSeq and is a predicted model, not a curated record. Lineage: Eukaryota; Metazoa; Mollusca; Gastropoda; Aplysiida; Aplysiidae. The transcript has 3 exons.